GUCGCAUGUCACCGAUCGAUUGGGCCGCCGCUCCAGCCAGCCACGAGCAUUUCCCGGCGUUGGCACUCGCGUUCGUCCAUGUGUGUCGCAGCAACAGUGCACACGUUAACGUUGAGAGGACCAAGGAUCUGGGAUUCGACCAAGACAGGUGGAAUUUCAGCGCAUUUCAUCCAUUUCGGAAAUCAGCGAUGACAAUGAAGAUGACAGAGGGGAAAAGACUACAAGGAAGAGGAAAGCAUUAAGAUCUGCUGCAACGAAGUGCAGACAAAAACGUACCAGAACACGAUCGCCCCAGCUAGAUCCGUUGGUCCACUCCUGGAGGUAAAAUCUUUCAAAUCGAGCUCCUUUGGUCUCUCUCUGAGUCUCUGCAUAGCUAUAGGUUUACAACAAGCUACUACGAUUGUAGUUGUUGUUUCUCAGAUUCCCAACUGCAUAACCCCAUUGAAUAUCCCUCUGUUACAGUUCAGCAUUAUUUAUGAUGGUUAAACACUUCACCUUGCCCAUUAAAAAAAUCCAGAUAUAGCUACAAUUGUUUGAUGCUCCAUGAUAGUGUGCAUUAGUUCAAAUCACUUUAGUUUAGCUGCACAUGUUAGUUUCAGUUAAAACAGCCUGUUCAUCAAACUAAUUUAAUUUAUUGGCUACUAAGCCUAUUAUACAUAACAUGUACAACUUCUUCCUUUGCCAUUCAUACUUGUGGAUAUCAAAAGGUAUUUUAUUUACUGGCUGCUGAUACAUGCUUUGCAUUUUAUUUUUCAUUUUUUUGUUUGUGCACAACUGCACAUUGCCUACACACCUACACCUUGAUAGGCAAUAUUCAGCAAAAAUUCCUCUGUUCCUGUAUGUGGAGGCAAAAGUCAAUAGCUUUUCUUGUUCUACUGUUGGCCUUGUGGUGGAGGAACAAAAAUCACAAGAGUACAGCCAAACGCAUAAAGUAUAUGCUCCACUUGCGCAGAGGGAUAUAUGGCAUAGUAGUGAGCUAAUUAGGUUGAUUGAUACCUCAGA
Molecule: long non-coding RNA, 1002 nt
Organism: Sorghum bicolor (sorghum)
Lineage: Eukaryota; Viridiplantae; Streptophyta; Magnoliopsida; Poales; Poaceae
Exons: 3
Source: RefSeq, a predicted model, not a curated record